CUUGAAACUGGGCCUGUUUCUCAAAUUAGGCUUUUGGUCUCAGAUGUACCUUUCCUGCAGAGCUGCAGAAUGCACAGAAGGUCUUUGGGUAUUUCAUGGGCUUCUUGCUGUCASUUCCACUAAUGCUCCUUGGCUUGUGUUUGACAGAACACGUCUGUGUCCCUUCCCAGCCAGCACCACCCAGAACAUGGRCUGUACAUUGGGAUUGGCACAUGUACAGCUCUUCUGCUCAUCCUGAUUUUGGCUCUGUUCCUCACCAAACAAUAUUUUUACAACACGAAGAAGAUGGGUGGUUUUGCAGGCUUUGUUACAUUUCAGAGGCCACAAGGUGUGGGGAGCCAUAGUGUCCUGGACGAUGAGAGUCAUGCAGAGGAAAAUAUUUAUAUCAUAGACUAAGGACUGGAUGCAUUGCUGCCUUUAUCACUGCUGGGACAUUAAAURGUUUGCAAAAUGUUGGCUGCUCCCCCUGCUCAGCAGCUGAACGUGACUGCAUUAUUGAAGCAUUAUUCACUUCCUAAUAAUAAAACAAAUAAAAGCUACACUUUUAAUUAAAAUCUUUAUCAGCCUGUUCCAGAGACAGAAACCCAAACUGGCAUUGGUGGAACUUUCCAUUUCCUAAAGAAAGUUAUGAUUAUAUUUAUUAUCUGCCUCAAAUUCUCGCUUCCUUGUUGGGGAAAAAAAAAAAAAAAAGAGGAAGUGCCAGAAGGGCACAAUUGUGUUCACUGUGGAUUCCAUCUGCCACCUUCCACAGAGUCUGUGCCAUCAGAGGGCAGAAGCAAUCUCGGAGCUGUGUGACAAAGAUGUCACAUGGCCAAUCUUGG
RNAcentral lists this long non-coding RNA (821 nucleotides) under Zosterops lateralis melanops. RNAcentral's name for it is "lncRNA (ENSZLMG00000008430.1)". The record is from RNAcentral. Lineage: Eukaryota; Metazoa; Chordata; Aves; Passeriformes; Zosteropidae.